GGCUUUGGACUGCGGAGCACGCCGGGAGUCGUAGUCCCCAGGCCUGCUCGGGCCCACCUCGUCGGAGACGAGCAGGAACCGCCUCCUCUUCUUUGCAUAUCGGCGAAGUGUAGUUCUCAAGAGCAUUGUGGGGCCGGUUGCUGCCCGAAUCUCUCUAGGGAAUGGGACCGAGUUGGGGACCCAGACUCCCUGGCCUUCAUGGCCACAGUCCUGUCGCCGCCCCACCAAAAGCCAAUCUCUAAGUAUCCCAGAGUCCCGGGGCCAGAGUGGGAUGGGAGUGCGGGAUCGGAAGUUCCAUUUUUCAGAUGGGAAAAGUGAGGCUCAGAGAAAGCAGCCCAGACACGUUUCGGACCGGGACCCACGCACAGGCCCCUCCCCGGUCUUGGAAGGCCCUUCCUCUGAGAACAAAGAGAUGUUGGGCCAGAUCAUCUUCCACGCUUCUUCAGCUCCGAGAUAGGAACGCGGUCCCCCACCACUCACAGGCCGGCUGCUCCUCACCCAUCCGGUCUCACUGGGACGCCACGUUCCUCAGGGAAGCCAGUCGGGAACGUUUUUUUUGUUUGUUUGUUUGUUUUUGAGACGGAGUUCUAUGUUAUCCAGGCUGGUGUCGAACUCCUGGGCUCAAGCGAUCCUCCCAACUCGGCCUCCAAAAGUUUACAGGCGUGAGCCACGGUGCCCAGCCUCCUGUGCCUUUUAAUUCACUGAUGCAAUUGUUGAUCCAGCCCUGUCAGCCCCGAGGGUAGGGUCUGAGGUUGCUGCUGUAUCCCUGGCACUCAGUGGAGGCUUGGCCCAAAGAAAGAGGUUUUUUUGUUUUUUUUUUUUUUUCCCAAGACGGGAGUCUCACUCUGUCACCCAGGCUGGAGUGCAGUGGCAUGAUCUCAGCUCACUGCAACCUCUGCCUCCUGGGUUCAAGCGAUUCUUCUGCCUCAGCCUACCGAGUAGCUGGGAUUACAGGCACGUGUCAACACGCCCAGCUAAUUUUUGUAUUUUUAGUAGAGAUGGGUUUUCACCAUGUUGGCUAGGUUGGUCUCAAACUCCUGACCUCAGGUGAUCCACCCACCUCAGCCUCCGAAAGUGCCUGGAUUACAGGCGUAAGCCACUGCGCUCGGCCCAAAUUUUCUCCCCAGGAAUCUGGAACGAUGAAGGUGAUGAUUGUGCCUGUGGCCAAGACCGGGAGAACCCUGGAUCCCUACACCUUCCCCACCCCUGGAAUGUCACUAUACAUAUCUGACUUCUUCUGAUGUUGCCUUUGACCCUAAAGUCAAUAUGAUAAAGUAACAAGAAGCUGGGACAGAGGAACAAACACAGCCCACUCAAGCAGUGGUGGCAACAUUCUGUUAGAAAGGAGGGGAGUCAAAGAAAAAAACACCCCUCCGCCCAUCUCCUUAUCACCUCCCUAAAGACAGAGGAGAACAUGGACACCCUCCAUCCUGAUAGACAUGCCAUGUGGUCAGUUUGUGCGGUAAACAGGAAAAAAAAAAAACCUAAAGAUAUUGUAGACCUUUAUUUUCUUUAAAUCUCCUAAUAAAAACAUUAAACUUUCAAGAAGAUUCCAAACUGA
Molecule: long non-coding RNA, 1561 nt
Filed under: Homo sapiens (human)
Lineage: Eukaryota; Metazoa; Chordata; Mammalia; Primates; Hominidae
Description: PREDICTED lncRNA (TCONS_00262648)
Source: RNAcentral